ACAAUGGUUCCCCAGCGCCGCGACCCGAGGCUGUGCUGCUGUCCCCGGGAGCUGCAGGAGCUGCCUCCGUGCCUUCUCCCUCUGCAUCACCGCCGGCAACUGAAUUCGCAACGGUGCAGGCAGCGCCGGCGCGGGCCGACCCCGUUCCAAGGCCACCGCCCCCGCCUGUCCCGCCGCUCCCUGCCGGUCCAAUUGCAGUGCAAGAGCUUGCCGAGAAUGGUGCUGAGCCCACGGAUUCGACUCAAGAGUCGACACCAGCGCCCGUGCUGCCCGCACCACCCACCCCAGUUGUCCCGCAGGUUUCCGAAGCUCCGUCAGUCGCAUCAGACCCUGGGAAGAGCCUGUCCUUCCGUGGAGGGGGCACGGCCCGCCAGCUGACUGCAGUUCUUUGUUUCAGAAUUCUGCAAGCCUGUUUCAGGACCAAAGGGGACUUCCAGAGAUGUCAAAGAGGAACAUCUUCAGUCCAUGGACUCUGUCCUGAAACUCAGCUGUUUGGACUUGAAACAAUGAACUUUGUUUGCAUGAGUUUUUUGCAUUUUCUUAUAUUUUAAGAUUGUUUUAGUGAUAUGAUAGAAUAUGAUGUUCUACAAGUGACGAAUUUUCCUGAAUGUUCUACAGGUGAAGAAUUUCCCUGACCAUUCCACAUCAGCAGUUGAUUGAGAUUUUGAUUGGCAACAGAUGAACCUCAAGAGGUGUUUGUUCUCUCUUCUGCAAGGGCCCAGUAGAAGGGAUGGCAAACAUUUCUUUUUCUAUUUAAUUUAAUAAAUUUUAAAGGGUGAGAUGUAGCCGUGAUAUUUUAGUGAAAAAGCCUCUGCUAGGAUUUUUCCUGUCCUGAGGUGCUGAGAGCCUCAGGAAAGAAAUGUAAACAAUAACUAUCUGCUGCUGUGGAAUGCAACAGAUGCAUCUUCCAUUGGUCCAUGUGGAUUGUUUUCAAUCAGUGACCAAUCACAGCCACCUGUGCCAAGGCUGUGAGCAGUCACAGGAUUUUUGUUAUUCAUUCCUAUUCUAUUCUUGUCUUUGUAGCCUUCUGAUCUUCUUCUCUCUGUUCUUUUAGUAUAGUUGUAAUGUAGUAUUUUAGUAUAAUAUAUAACAUAAUAAAUCAGCCUUCUGAUGAAAA
Long non-coding RNA from Passer domesticus (house sparrow), 1117 nucleotides. RefSeq lists it as uncharacterized. The record is from RefSeq and is a predicted model, not a curated record. Lineage: Eukaryota; Metazoa; Chordata; Aves; Passeriformes; Passeridae. The transcript is spliced from 2 exons.